UGUUGGGAUUACAGGCGUGAGCCACCACACCCAGCCUAUAUUUGGUUUUCUACAAUGAACAUGUAUGACUUUUGUGGGACAGCCAUUUAUCUUAACCGGUUGAAACAU
RNAcentral lists this long non-coding RNA (108 nucleotides) under Pongo abelii (Sumatran orangutan). RNAcentral's name for it is "lincRNA". The record is from RNAcentral. Lineage: Eukaryota; Metazoa; Chordata; Mammalia; Primates; Hominidae.